ACUCCCAAACCCCUGUGAACAUACCAAUUGUUGCCUCGGCGGAUCAGCCCGCUCCCGGUAAAACGGGACGGCCCGCCAGAGGACCCCUAAACUCUGUUUCUAUAUGUAACUUCUGAGUAAAACCAUAAAUAAAUCAAAACUUUCAACAACGGAUCUCUUGGUUCUGGCAUCGAUGAAGAACGCAGCAAAAUGCGAUAAGUAAUGUGAAUUGCAGAAUUCAGUGAAUCAUCGAAUCUUUGAACGCACAUUGCGCCCGCCAGUAUUCUGGCGGGCAUGCCUGUUCGAGCGUCAUUUCAACCCUCAAGCCCAGCUUGGUGUUGGGACUCGCGAGUCAAAUCGCGUUCCCCAAAUUGAUUGGCGGUCACGUCGAGCUUCCAUAGCGUAGUAGUAAAACCCUCGUUACUGGUAAUCGUCGCGGCCACGCCGUUAAACCCCAACUUCUGAAUGUUGACCUCGGAUCAGGUAGGAAUACCCGCUGAACUUAAGCAUAUCAAUAAGCGGAGGAAAAGAAACCAACAGGGAUUGCCCUAGUAACGGCGAGUGAAGCGGCAACAGCUCAAAUUUGAAAUCUGGCUCUCGGGCCCGAGUUGUAAUUUGUAGAGGAUACUUUUGAUGCGGUGCCUUCCGAGUUCCCUGGAACGGGACGCCAUAGAGGGUGAGAGCCCCGUCUGGUUGGAUGCCAAAUCUCUGUAAAGUUCCUUCGACGAGUCGAGUAGUUUGGGAAUGCUGCUCUAAAUGGGAGGUAUAUGUCUUCUAAAGCUAAAUACCGGCCAGAGACCGAUAGCGCACAAGUAGAGUGAUCGAAAGAUGAAAAGCACUUUGAAAAGAGAGUUAAAAAGUACGUGAAAUUGUUGAAAGGGAAGCGUUUAUGACCAGACUUGGGCUUGGUUGAUCAUCUGGGGUUCUCCCCAGUGCACUCUUCCAGUCCAGGCCAGCAUCAGUUUUCGCCGGGGGAUAAAGACUUCGGGAAUGUGGCUCUCUUCGGGGAGUGUUAUAGCCCGUUGUGUAAUACCCUGGCGG
RNAcentral lists this ribosomal RNA (1020 nucleotides) under fungal endophyte. RNAcentral's name for it is "eukaryotic LSU rRNA". The stretch from base 449 to 1020 matches the Rfam family "Eukaryotic large subunit ribosomal RNA", at positions 1 to 584 of the family's 3401-position model. Lineage: Eukaryota; Fungi. The record is from RNAcentral.